ACGGCCGCGGUAUUUUGACCGUGCGAAGGUAGCGCAAUCACUUGUCUUUUAAAUGAAGACCUGUAUGAAUGGCACCACGAGGGCUUAACUGUCUCCCUCUCCCAGUCAAUGAAAUUGAUCUCCCCGUGCAGAAGCGGGGAUAAAAACAUAAGACGAGAAGACCCUAUGGAGCUUAAGACGCCAAGGCAGCUCACGUUAAACACUCCCAAAUAAGGGGACAAACCAAGUGAACCUCUGCCCUAAUGUCUUUGGUUGGGGCGACCGCGGGGAAAAAUUAAACCCCCAUGUGGAAUAGGAGUACUACGCUCCUACAUCCAAGAGCUCCCGCUCUAAUAAACAGAAUUUCUGACCAACAAGAUCCGGCAAUGCCGAUCAACGGACCGAGUUACCCUAGGGAUAACAGCGCAAUCCUCUUAAAGAGCCCUUAUCGACAAGGGGGUUUACGACCUCGAUGUUGGAUCAGGACAUCCUAAUGGUGC
This 479-nucleotide ribosomal RNA is filed under the name Pagellus bogaraveo (blackspot seabream). RNAcentral describes it as "partial 16S ribosomal RNA". It matches the Rfam family "Bacterial large subunit ribosomal RNA", at positions 1927 to 2556 of the family's 2925-position model. Lineage: Eukaryota; Metazoa; Chordata; Actinopteri; Spariformes; Sparidae. The record is from RNAcentral.